GGACUCUUAGCUUAAUGGUAAAGCAAACGCCUCAUAAGCGUUGGAGUGUAGGUUCAAUCCCUACAGAGUCCAU
This 73-nucleotide transfer RNA is filed under the name Staphylococcus phage Twort. RNAcentral describes it as "tRNA-Met". It matches the Rfam family "tRNA". Rfam says of the family: Transfer RNA (tRNA) molecules are approximately 80 nucleotides in length. Lineage: Duplodnaviria; Heunggongvirae; Uroviricota; Caudoviricetes; Herelleviridae. The record is from RNAcentral.